GAUGAACGCUGGCGGCGUGCCUAAUACAUGCAAGUCGAGCGAACAGACGAGGAGCUUGCUCCUCUGACGUUAGCGGCGGACGCGUGAGUAACACGUGGAUAACCUACCUAUAAGACUGGGAUAACUUCGGGAAACCGGAGCUAAUACCGGAUAAUAUAUUGAACCGCAUGGUUCAAUAGUGAAAGACGGUUUUGCUGUCACUUAUAGAUGGAUCCGCGCCGCAUUAGCUAGUUGGUAAGGUAACGGCUUACCAAGGCAACGAUGCGUAGCCGACCUGAGAGGGGGAUCGGCCAAACUGGAACUGGGAAACGGUCCAGACUCCCACGGGAGGCAGGAGUAGGGAAUCUUCCGGAAUGGGCGAAAGCUUGACGGAGCAACGCCGCGGGGGUGAUGAAGGUCUUCGGAUCGUAAAACUCUGUUAUUAGGGAAGAACAAAUGUGUAAGUAACUAUGCACGUCUUGACGGUACCUAAUCAGAAAGCCACGGCUAACUACGUG
This 497-nucleotide ribosomal RNA is filed under the name uncultured bacterium. RNAcentral's name for it is "partial 16S ribosomal RNA". It matches the Rfam family "Bacterial small subunit ribosomal RNA", at positions 28 to 507 of the family's 1533-position model. The record is from RNAcentral.